RNAcentral lists this ribosomal RNA (253 nucleotides) under uncultured bacterium. Its description in RNAcentral is "partial 16S ribosomal RNA". It matches the Rfam family "Bacterial small subunit ribosomal RNA", at positions 524 to 776 of the family's 1533-position model. The record is from RNAcentral.
UACGAGGGGUGCAAGCGUUAAUCGGAAUUACUGGGCGUAAAGCGCAUGCAGGUGGUUUGGUCAGUCAGAUGUGAAAGCCCCGGGCUCAACCUGGGAACUGCAUUUGAUACUGCCAAACUAGAGUCCUUGAGAGGGGGGUAGAAUUUCGGGUGUAGCGGUGAAAUGCGUAGAGAUCCGAAGGAAUACCAGUGGCGAAGGCGGCCCCCUGGCAAGAGACUGACACUCAGAUGCGAAAGCGUGGGGAGCAAACAGG